CGCCGAGGCACCGAGGCACUCAAAGGAGGUGAGAGAGCGGCGGCAGACAACAGGGGACCCCGGGCCGGCGGCCCAGAGCCGAGCCGAGCGUGCCCGCGUGUGUCCGUGCGUGUCCGCGAGGAUACGUGUUCGCGGGUGUGUGCUGCGUUCACAGGUGUUUCUGCGGCAGGGUGACGCGCAGCCGGAGUGGAAGCAGAGUUUUGGCGGGCGAGCAGCGCCUUGCAGGAAACUGACUCAUCACUACUCCCUCCAGCGGUCCGAGGCUCUGCCCACGCACCUCCCACCCCGCGCGUGAUUUCCUGGAGGCCGGCGCCCCCUCCCGGCCCUGGCGGGAAUAGCACACAGGCUUUCCCGCGGAGUGGGGCUGGUCCGCGCGAACCGCCGCGGCUACUCCUGGGCUCAUCCGAGAUCAACCCCUGUGCCAUUACCAUCCCUUCAAAGGAGCACUCCUUAGGCUCAACAGUAUUUACUGAGCUCUUACUGGAAAUUAAAAUAUGACUGAAGUCUAAGGCAGGAAGGCCAAUAAAGGAGGCUAUUUUUAAUUGUUGCUAAAAC
This 555-nucleotide small RNA is filed under the name Pongo abelii (Sumatran orangutan). RNAcentral's name for it is "processed transcript". The record is from RNAcentral. Lineage: Eukaryota; Metazoa; Chordata; Mammalia; Primates; Hominidae.